This 497-nucleotide ribosomal RNA is filed under the name uncultured bacterium. RNAcentral describes it as "partial 16S ribosomal RNA". It matches the Rfam family "Bacterial small subunit ribosomal RNA", at positions 28 to 507 of the family's 1533-position model. The record is from RNAcentral.
GAUGAACGCUGGCGGCGUGCCUAAUACAUGCAAGUCGAGCGAACAGACGAUGAUCUUGCUCCUUUGAUGUUAGCGGCGGACGUGUGUGUAACACGUAUAUCACCUACCUAUAAUACUGAGAUAACUUCGGGACACCGGAUCUUAUACCGUAUAAUAUUUCGAAGCGCGGUGUUCGAUGGUGAAAUAUGGCUGUGCUAUCACUUAUAGAUGCUCUUGCGCCGUAUUAGCUAGUUGUUAAGGUAACGGCUUACCAAGGCAACGAUACGUAACCGACCUGAGAGGGUGAUCGGCCACACUGGAACUGAGACACGGUCCAGACUCCUACGGGAGGCAGCAGUAGGGUAUCUGCCGCAAUGGGCGAAAGCAUGACGGAGCAACGCCGAGUGAGUGAUGAAGGUCUUCGGAUCGUAAAACUGUGUUAUUAGGGAAGAACAAACGUGUAAGUAACUGUGGACGUAUUGACGGUACCUAAUAAGAAAGCACCGGCUAACUACGUG